GGUGGACUCUGUGUUAACAGCUGCGGAAAUGCACAAAAACCUAUUAUCCAUGGGGGAAGUCAGGCUAUACAGAAAUUAGGACACAGUUCUGAUGAAGAGAGUGCUCUGGAGCAGCUGCAGACCCGAAUUCGUGCUGUCCCAGGAAUCCAGGCCUCCUCCAAAACAUCCCCAGCCUUUUUGCAAGCGGAAAAAGGUGAGUAACGUAGUACACAGGGAACUGCUCAACUCAAGCUAAGACAGCAAUGAGGGAAGUGUUGGCUAUUUUAAAAGUUAGUGGCUUUUCUAACUCAUUAUGGAAUUAAAAUUAAUACAUUAAAAAAAAUAGCAUCUACUACAUACACCCUUUACUGAGCCAAUGUUACAAGAAAUGAAACAACCAAAAAAAGGGGAUUUUUAAAAAUUUGUUGUGGUGGUUUUUGUUUUUUUUUUCUUUCUUCCAGAAGACCCAGCAGAGAGUUUGAGAGAAGCCAUUUGCUGCUUAGUCUUUUUGAGAAAACUCACAUUAAACUACUUGGACUGGCAAGAGGAAAUUCAGUGGAACAGAUAUUUUGGUGUCACCUUCUUAUCUGAAUGUGCUUCUGCCAAACGUCUUUUUAUGCACAUUAUGAUGCAUAUCAGAGUACCUCAUGUUGAAGUCAAGCUCCCAGCUGCAGCUUAAUUUUAUGUCACUUGUCUAAUUAUGGUAAUUAGACAUUAGUUAUCAUCAAUUACACAUAAGCUCAUCUCGAGUUGACUGCUGCAAAGCAUGUAGAAAGCACCUUCCCAGUCUCGAGGGAAGACUCUGGUUGGCUGGCUCGAGCAAGUCACAGGAAACUAGAAAGGAGUUUUCACCAUCAUCAACAUAUCGUAAACCACAUUCCCAACUGAGCAGUUCAAAGUUUUAUUUCAUAAACUCUUGCAAAGGUGAGUGGACGUAAGGAUCAAUGAGAGCAAGAAGCUUGCUCUGUUUGACCCGCUCCAUCAGGCUGAUUUUAAACUUCUUUGCAUAUUCAUACAUGUAGAACGCAAGUUCUACAGAAAUCAGUGCCACGGGUAUUAUCAUUAAAUUAAAGCCAGCAUCUCCUGGAACGGAUACUUUUUGCUUAAACUUUAUUUUUACUCCUAGUAUCUUCACCUAAUGAUAAUAAGAAGUUACAUCAGAUUCACUCAAAACUACCCGUUCAGUGAAUUCGUAACUCCGUUUGCUGCAAGCAGCAGCCAGUUCUGAUUUCCACGGAGAAAAGCUGCAGUUGCUCAUCUACAACCCUGCAGAGCAGCUGAUCUCAAAAGGUGGCUCAACGGGUGAGCAAAACUGUCACAGCUACAGGAACCCUGCGCUCGUGCCAGCCUCUGUGAGUCUCUUUGGACGGGCUGGAAAAAACAAUUCCAGAAGCACUAAGAGUUUUGUCAGGGUAACUGCAUCUGCCCUGCCAGCUCUCGGCACACUGAGGGUCAGGCAUCACCCAUUUCUGCCAAAAUUACACCCGCAGGAAUUUGCAGUCUGGGGGGGCUUCUGGAAGAACGAGAUUUCAUUAAACAAAAAGGAUUCCAAAAAGGAGAAAAGUUACCACAAUAAAAAAAGCCUCUCGGUCAACACCAACUUCUUACACACACCUGUCCUUACACGCUGCUUAUUAUCUACUGGUACUCCGAGGAGGACGCUCCUCUGGAAAGCUCCCUCUCAGUAGCAUUUUGGCCACCAAAUUUUGGAAGUUCCCACAAUAGUUUAAGAACGUAUCACAACUCCGUUAAUACUCAAGGCUUUGAGAGAAGAGGCUGAGAAACAGGAGUUACAGCAGAGCCAGUGUUUUAAGCAUGAUUUAGAAAGUCCUUGCAAACCAGUAAAAUCCUUCACACUUCAAUCCUUCAUAAUCCAUCACUUUUAUGGAUGUUUAAGAAAAAAAAAA
Athene cunicularia (burrowing owl) is the source of this 1886-nucleotide long non-coding RNA. RefSeq lists it as uncharacterized. The transcript is spliced from 2 exons. NCBI's taxonomy places the organism in Eukaryota, Metazoa, Chordata, Aves, Strigiformes, Strigidae. The record is from RefSeq and is a predicted model, not a curated record.